CUUGUACUCCCUCCGUCCGAAAAUACUUGUCAUUGAAAUGGAUGUAUCUAGAUGUAUUUUAGUUCUAGACACAUCCAUUUUGAUGACAAGUAAUUCUGGACGGAGGGAGUACUUG
Non-coding RNA from Triticum aestivum (bread wheat), 115 nucleotides. The record is from Rfam. Lineage: Eukaryota; Viridiplantae; Streptophyta; Magnoliopsida; Poales; Poaceae.